RNAcentral lists this ribosomal RNA (486 nucleotides) under uncultured bacterium. RNAcentral describes it as "partial 16S ribosomal RNA". It matches the Rfam family "Bacterial small subunit ribosomal RNA", at positions 30 to 507 of the family's 1533-position model. The record is from RNAcentral.
AUUGAACGCUGGCGGCAUGCCUUACACAUGCAAGUCGAACGGCAGCACGGGUGCUUGCACCUGGUGGCGAGUGGCGAACGGGUGAGUAAUACAUCGGAACAUGUCCUGUAGUGGGGGAUAGCCCGGCGAAAGCCGGAUUAAUACCGCAUACGAUCUACGGAUGAAAGCGGGGGCCCUUCGGGCCUCGCGCUAUAGGGUUGGCCGAUGGCUGAUUAGCUAGUUGGGGGGGUAAAGGCCGACCAAGGCGACGAUCAGUAGCUGGUCUGAGAGGACGACCAGCCACACUGGAACUGAGACACGGCCCAGACUCCUACGGGAGGCAGCAGUGGGGAAUUUUGGACAAUGGGCGAAAGCCUGAUCCAGCAAUGCCGCGUGUGUGAAGAAGGCCUUCGGGUUGUAAAGCACUUUUGUCCGGAAAGAAAUCCUUGGCCCUAAUACGGUCGGGGGAUGACGGUACCGGAAGAAUAAGCACCGGCUAACUACGUG